AAACCGCCUAGAGGUAAACGGGUGGAUCCGCAAAGUCGGCCCGCGGAAUUCAGCUCGGAAGGCCGUGAGCCCGCGGUGGGUCGGGGAUCUUGUCGACCCUCCCGCCGCGGGACCUCGCGUCGACCGUGUGCACUUUCCGCGGGCAGAGCGCCACGACCGGUUCUCGGGCGGUCAGAAGGCGGCGGGGAUGGUAGGCGCGCGCUUCGGCGUGCGCUGGUAUAGCCCCGCCUGUCCCGAUCCGCCUGGGGACCGAGGAGCCGCCGCCGGUGUAGGCCGCCUUGCCCUCCUGGGAGGUUCGACUGGCAGAGACUGGGCAACCGUGUCUGCCGACCGCCUUUCGGUGAUGGAUUGGGGUGGGCCCGCCGGCACAGGGUCGGUGGCGAAUCGGUCGGCCCUCCACCCGACCCGUCUUGAA
This 415-nucleotide ribosomal RNA is filed under the name Calyptraea aspersa. RNAcentral describes it as "eukaryotic LSU rRNA". Lineage: Eukaryota; Metazoa; Mollusca; Gastropoda; Littorinimorpha; Calyptraeidae. The record is from RNAcentral.